GCAGCAUAUGCAGUGAGGACAAAACAUCCUAGAGACCGCAAACUGCAGUGCUUCCAGAGGAGUUACAAGCGGUCUUUGUGAAACUAAUAAUUGUAGAAUAGCAACCAAAGAGUGCCCCUGAUAAUAAUAUAGAUAAGAGUCCUAGGUUACGUAUGUACAGAGCAGAGCAGCGGCGAGGGUAAUGCAAAUCACUGACCAAAACAAUGGAUCAAGCUGAAAAUCUGUAACAGAAAUUGCAGGAUUGAGUAUAUAAAAACCUGUCAGCCAUUGGUAACUCCAGUAAGAAGAAACCUAAAGCCUGAUGCUACUAAAGCUAGUACUGCCAUUUUCACUAUAAUAAGAUAUAAAAAGCUAUAAAUGGAUGGAUCGUCCCAGCUUAACACAGACCAGCUGGACUGCAUCCACAACACAUACUCAAAAUUUCCCACAUCUGCCUGAUCAAAGUCAUCACCGCCCAAUCAUAUUGCUAUACAGGGGCGUCAGCGACGAUGAAUUGGAAAAUCGGAGACAGAGCCGCGAUACAGAGAAAGAGAGACAGAGAGGGAGCUCACGAGGUUAUUAUUGAGUCAAUCAAGAUCGAGGCACUUGACGACGAUGGCCCGGUUGGCCGGGAGGAAGAUGGCAUGGUACACGACGGCGUUGGCGCAAAAGCAGACCUCCUCCAUGAGCCUGUAGUCGUCGGCCGACAAGGUGAACUCCAG
This 701-nucleotide long non-coding RNA is filed under the name Triticum aestivum (bread wheat). RNAcentral's name for it is "long non-coding RNA (TAES_LNC018149)". Lineage: Eukaryota; Viridiplantae; Streptophyta; Magnoliopsida; Poales; Poaceae. The record is from RNAcentral.